UAAAAUGUGUGAGCAUGCAGCUGGGUAAC
Molecule: non-coding RNA, 29 nt
Filed under: Rattus norvegicus (Norway rat)
Lineage: Eukaryota; Metazoa; Chordata; Mammalia; Rodentia; Muridae
Source: RNAcentral